This is a long non-coding RNA of Pollicipes pollicipes, 693 nucleotides long. RefSeq lists it as uncharacterized. The transcript is spliced from 3 exons. NCBI's taxonomy places the organism in Eukaryota, Metazoa, Arthropoda, Thecostraca, Pollicipedomorpha, Pollicipedidae. The record is from RefSeq and is a predicted model, not a curated record.
AGCAUGCUUGUUGUUUAAGUUAAGGCCUGGGUUAUCCGCGGAUGAUUGGUAGCCCACCAAUAGGCUUACGUUUUGGAACUUGAUAUCAGUGAAGCUAGCAUGAACAAGACUGGGAAAACUGGAGAGUCUGUUGACUGUGAGAAUGAAUUAUGGUCAGUCAAUCCCCAGGAGCAAGUAGACUUCAGAGCCAGUGUGGCCCGGCCUGCAGGCUGGGAGGCUGCCUGCCGCCACCAGCUGGCCAGCUGCUCGGACGCUGGUCGGCGUGCACUCUUGCUCAACCGGCUGGGCCAGCUGCUCUAUGGCCAGGUGCGGUUUGACGAGGCGUCGGCGGCUUACACGGAGGCGCUGAGUGAGGACCCGCGCCUCGCGGCGGCUGCACAUAAUCGGGCCACCAUCAGCUACAGGAUGGGUGAGCAGAGCGGGCCCGGUGUGAUGGGAUGGUGCGCGUGGUAUGAUGUGGCCGCGGAGGGUUGUCCCAUAUUCAGCUGUUAGCUACGGUUCAGGUAAUUAUAUUUCUCUAGCCACUUGAUCUUUGUGCUGCGAGUGUAGUGUUUGUCUGCUGGCUGAGUUUGUUUUCAGCUUGAGGCCUUUAUGAAACGAAGUCCGAAAUGCGCUGUGAACCCUACGUUUCGCCGCGCUCGUCACUGUGUGUGCCGUCCGACCACCAGUUCCAAGCCCUGCCUGCCUGUCAUC